Molecule: ribosomal RNA, 458 nt
Filed under: uncultured bacterium
Lineage: Bacteria
Description: partial 16S ribosomal RNA
Rfam family: Bacterial small subunit ribosomal RNA
Source: RNAcentral
CCUACGGGUGGCAGCAGUGGGGAAUAUUGCACAAUGGGGGAAACCCUGAUGCAGCGACGCCGCGUGAGUGAAGAAGUAUUUCGGUAUGUAAAGCUCUAUCAGCAGGGAAGAAAUAGCUACCGUUACGUCGCCAAUCAGUCCCUGAUUAAUAAGCCCCGGCUAACUACGUGCCAGCAGCCGCGGUAAUACGUAGGGGGCAAGCGUUAUCCGGAUUGACUGGGGGUAAAGGGGGCGUAGACGGCAGCGCAAGUCUGAAGUGAAAUGCCGGGGCUUAACCCCGGAACUGCUAUGGAAUCUGUGGAGCUAGAGUGCAGGAGAGGUAAGCGGAAUUCCUAGUGUAGCGGUGAAAUGCGUAGAUAUUAGGAGGAACACCAGUGGCGAAGGCGGCUUACUGGACUGUAACUGACGUUGAGGCUCGAAAGCGUGGGGAGCAAACAGGAUUAGAUACCCCAGUAGUC